GUAGGGUGCGAGCGUUAUCCGGGGAUCAUUGGGGCGUAAAGAGCUCGUAGGCGGUUCAGCAAGUCGGCUGUGAAAUUCCGAGGGCUCAACCUCGGAACUGCAGUCGAUACUGCUGUGACUCGAGUCCGGUAGAGGAGAAUGGAAUUCAGGGUGUAGCGGUGAAAUGCGCAGAUAUCCUGAGGAACACCAGUAGCGAAGGCGGUUCUCUGGGCCGGUACUGACGCUGAGGAGCGAAAGCGUGGGUAGCAAACAGGAUUAGAUACCCUGGUAGUCCACGCCGUAAACGUUGGACACUAGGUGUGGCGUUCCGACCAACGGGUGCCGUGCCGAAGCUAACGCAUUAAGUGUCCCGCCUGGGGAGUACGGCCGCAAGGCUA
RNAcentral lists this ribosomal RNA (377 nucleotides) under uncultured organism. RNAcentral's name for it is "partial 16S ribosomal RNA". It matches the Rfam family "Bacterial small subunit ribosomal RNA", at positions 527 to 896 of the family's 1533-position model. The record is from RNAcentral.